GACUACUUCAGACACAUGAUGUAUGACAACAUACAAAGGAGGAAGUGCCUUUUGGUAACUGAUUUAUUUCAAUGAGCUGUCUCCCAUGAUGAUGAUGACCAAGAUGUGCAGAGGUCUAUUGUUG
This 124-nucleotide small RNA is filed under the name Rattus norvegicus (Norway rat). Its description in RNAcentral is "uncharacterized LOC108350687". The record is from RNAcentral. Lineage: Eukaryota; Metazoa; Chordata; Mammalia; Rodentia; Muridae.